RNAcentral lists this unclassified non-coding RNA (353 nucleotides) under soil metagenome. RNAcentral describes it as "partial contains 5.8S ribosomal RNA, internal transcribed spacer 2, and large subunit ribosomal RNA". The stretch from base 1 to 120 matches the Rfam family "5.8S ribosomal RNA", at positions 35 to 154 of the family's 154-position model. The record is from RNAcentral.
GAUGAAGAACGUAGCGAAAUGCGAUAAGUAGUGUGAAUUGCAGAUUUCAGUGAAUCAUCGAAUCUUUGAACGCACAUUGCGCCCGCCAGUAUUCUGGCGGGCAUGCCUGUUCGAGCGUCAUUACAACCCUCAGGCCCCCGGGCCUGGCGUUGGGGAUCGGCGGAAGCCCCCUGCGGGCACAACGCCGUCCCCCAAAUACAGUGGCGGUCCCGCCGCAGCUUCCAUUGCGUAGUAGCUAACACCUCGCAACUGGAGAGCGGCGCGGCCACGCCGUAAAACACCCAACUUCUGAAUGUUGACCUCGAAUCAGGUAGGAAUACCCGCUGAACUUAAGCAUAUCAAUAAGCGGAGGA